GAAAGCCUUAUUCUAAAAAAUCAAUAGAAUCUGAAAGUGUGCUUCCUGACAUCAUUGGUUUACAUUUUGGUGCAAGCACCUUAACUGGUUGUAACUGGUAGCAGUUUGUGGCCCGGCUUCUGUGAUGGACUUUGAGCAGUGCUGUCCAUAGAGCAGUGGAGAAGGACAGCUACAGCUUACCUGUGGGUUCAAAGGUCAGGCUCCAAGGAGGCGAAGCCACCGUCCUUCCCUCCAUAACAGACUGACGUCCUGGACACCAUACUUAAAAGACCCAGACCCCACUUGGGUACACAGUUUGGAGACGGAGCUCACUCUUCCCUCAGCUGGGGACACUUGGCAGGGUGCAACCUGCACCACUGUACACUGGACAGUGUGAACUGACCUGGGAACUAAAUAAGCCACCAUGACAAGAAACUAGAAAUGCGGGAUAAGAAUGUGCCACCAAACCCAAGAGAGUGGUGACAGUGAGAGGCAACAGCCAGUUUCAUUGAGUGCCACCUCCAUGCCUGCCAGCCAUGCAUUGAGCAGAGGACAAAAGGAACACCCAUCGGUGCAGAGGACAAGGGCAGCAGGGCCUUGGAAUCUUUCAGGAUGAAAGGCCUCAGGAGCCUGAAAGGCAUUAAUGACAGGCUUUAGGUGUUGUUCUCCUCCCCCAGAGACACCUGCAAUCUAGAGGGCAGAAGGUGACUUUUCAGCUUGAAGCACUCAUGCAAGGUGCAGUUUUUGCUGCUCUGGAAAAUCUCCCCAAGAGUAACCAACAGCACCAAGAGAAAAGGAGGGCAGGGAGAAUAAUAACGAUAAUAUUUACAGCAUGGGUUGAGAUGUACCAUGUUGCCAAAUGCUGUUCUCAGUACUUUUAAUUUGAUCCUGUACGAUUUUACAUCUCCCAAAGGAGGAAACUGAGGCACAAAGGAAUGAAGUAACUUGCUCAAAUUUAAACAUUGUUUAAGUAGGACAAGACAGGAUUUGUAUCCAAGUAGCCUGAUCCUGGAAAUGAAGCUCUUGACAUAGCAAAAGAGACACAGGUAUUGAAUCAUAUUCAUUUCAUAAAGCCCUUGAGCAACUCAGAUGUGAAUAAAGCCCCCAUACUGCUGCCCUUGUUCCUCCCCCUAAUUCUGGUCUUGUCAUUGAUGAGCACCAAUCCCAUCUGCUGUGCCCAAGAAAGUAUGUGAAAAGAAGCUCAAGGAAAUGAGGGGGCUGAGCGUCUGCUCCCUGAGUCUAAGAAGCGGCUGUGUCAGGUCAGGCUGAAAGACACGAGAACUAGAGGCUGGAGGAAGCUGCACCGAGCUCUGGCCAGACUCUGUAAAACACAGACCAAACGCAGCUCAUGCAGAGGAGCAACCAGGCCAAUGAAAGGCCAGAAAACUACCCCAAAUAAGGGACUGCUGAAGGACCUAGAGAUGUUUAGCCUGAAGAAGAAAAGACGCAGGAGAUGGGAGAGCUGUUCCCAAAUAGCUCAGCUGUCCUCUUGGGAAGAGGGAUGAGGCUUUCCCUGCCUGGGGAUCCCAAGGGGGAGAAGUCACACAAAGGCAAAGAUGCUAAUUUCAGGAAAUGCUCAGAGAUAUUCAAAGACAAAUGAAGUUCCUGAUCUCAGUAAAGUAUUUAAGUACCAGCUAGAAGCCCACUGGCAUCCUCGUCAGUAACACACCUUUUCACUCUCAAAAGAGUCCUGGUUUGGGUCUCAAUUACUGGUCACCAGAAAGAGGGUCCACAGCCCCUCAGCUCCCAAAUAGCUUGUGUUGGCUUCACAACACUUCCAAGCUUGCAAUUAUUAAAUUUGCAUAUACAAGAUGUUUUGAGAUAGCAAUCUUUUUAAGGAUUUGUAACUACAUGGCUUAUACUUUUUAUCUACUUUUCAUCAUUUCCAUUGUGAUGAUUGAACAUAUUCCUUCAAAGGUUUGCUCCAUUUUCCUCUACCUAUGAGCUGCAUGCCAGCAGCGGAAACAAGCCCAGGAAUGUUGUACGGAAUGGAAAAGGCAGGAAAGCGCUGUUUGGCUUGGAAUUCCGCGGCUGGGGCAGGCAGGGUGGAGGAGUGAUACAGCUUUCUGAACAGGGUGUUCUUUGGGGCGUAGGGGACCUGAUGAAGGGAUCUAAGUUCAAAACAAAUGGGCAGCAACAGCAGGAGGGGCGUGAGAAGGGCCCAGGCUGGUGUCCCUGUGGGCCAGGACAGACAGGUUUGCAUCUGUGCUGUUUGGGGACAAUCGAAGCACAGUCCAUGCACUGGAGAACUGGGGCCACCAAGGGGCUCAGCCCCCAGAGUGCUCUGUACAGCCAUCCCUCCUAGAAGCCAAGGAAGCAUGUAAAGCUUUGAACGCAGCUGAUUGUCAUCUCUGAGGAAGGAAGCCACCAAUAAAGACCAAGGCCCUAGCUGAUGACAUCAUAAUAGUAUCUUCCAUGUGUAUCAUGCCUGACAGUGUGCAUAGCUUGUCUGUAUACUAUCUCAUCGGAUGCUGAUGACAACCCCGUGAAGUAAACGGAAUUGAUAUUAUCACUCCUGUUUUAAAAAUAAAAAAACUGAAGCUCAAAGUGACCUAAUGACAUACUCAAGCUCCCACGGCUAGGGAGUGGUGAGGCAUGGACUUCAGUGUCUAAAUUAAUGAAAGGCAGCACUUCAAAAGAGAACUAAAGGAGGCAGAACCAAUCCUCUUUGCUUUAUAGAAUGUACUUUCGUUCACGCCACUGUCGAUGGAAGCCCUGGGGAGAGAGCCGCUCAAGCAUUCCUUUGUAAGCGGCCCCGAAUUCCUGGCAAAUCAUUAGGCUUUCUAGAGCCCGCUCCCUGUGUGCACCACAUUCAGCUCCCCAGAAUCACAUUGGGUGGAAAAGUUAAUAACAAUCUCAGCUUUCCUCUGGCACCAAUUAGUACUUAAUAUAUUGAACACCCACACAGUCCUCACCAAGCCCUUCAGGGCUUUACGGCCACAGAGGAAAUGCUGUCAUUAUGCUCAAGGAAUUUACAGUCUCAAGAGGAAAUAGAAGAAGACGAAUAUCAAGUUAACAGGACAUAAAAUGCUUCACCAAAUACCAGUACAUGAAGUCUAAACAUAGGUGUGCUAUGUCUCAACCAAGGAAAACUCAUUAGAGUUUGGUCAUACUCCUAUGUCUGAAGCCAAUCACUGGAACAAGCAUAUUCACCUUGCUUACUGUCAUUAGUAAAUCAAAACACACUUGCAUAGAUUCAGACGCAUGCUUUAAUUUCGCAAGCCUUGCAUGUUCUACUACUACUACAACUAAUAUACUGUUUAAUUCUUUUUCACCUUUUAAUUCCUUUUAUAUAAACAUAUAAAGUGUGAACAUUAAUAAUAGUUUCCAUUAAUUAAAUGUUUACUCUGUGCACAUGUAAAUGCUUUAUAAUUGUCAUCUCAUUAAAUCCCCUCUAAGACUCUAUGAAGUAGCUUUUAUUAUCUCCACUCUUUGCAUAUAGAAACUGAGGACUAAAUGUAUUCAAAAUAGAGAUUUUGAAUAAAUUUCCCCAAAGUCCUAUAGCAUAGAAGUGGAAAAGGCAGAAUUUAAACCAAGAUCAGUCUAAAUCCAAAGCUCUUAAGAAGUUUAUAUUUCCUUAUUUUAACCUUAUGAUGUCUUUAUGCAGUAAGCAGGGAAGGUUGUAUCAAUUCACUUUUUAAAGGGGCAACACCCAAAGGUUCCACGACUUACCCAAGAGUUCUGCCACAAACUCUGCAACUCAGUUCUACUUACAAUCCGUCCCAUCAUCUUUCUAAGGUAACAGCAACUACUUGCAUUUAGAGGAAAAGCAAGAGUGUCAUAACCAGCCUUGAGACUGAAAUAUAAACAGGAGUGAAAUUUGUGCAUUUUUUAAUUGUUCUUUGCUUCAUGGAUAGUAUCACAUCCAAAUGUUAAAAACUACCUUUUCCUCAAUAGAGAAUGCAGAUGGUUUGGAAUCUUCAAAGCCACGCUGCAAAUGACCUACAUUUGAGAAAAGUCCUGCCCUGGCCGCUUCUCAAAGCUGCAUGAUGCCAGAGGUGGUUGGAUAAUCGAGCAGACUCCCCUGAGCAAUAUCCAAUCUAAAAUAGCAGUUAUGUCUGGGUCCCUGAUGACUCAGCAGAGUCCAAACUCCAUUGGAAAUUCUCUCCAUACAUCCUGCCCACUCUCGGUUUGCCUCCAUGGAGAGUCACCUUCUCUGAAACUCUGACAUAUUUGCUAAUCACCAUAGCAAGUUGGACAAAAUGUGUAUCUCGGCCAUAGUACUCCCACUCGCAUGAAUCCCCAUAAAAACUGUGGUCCUGCUGUAAUUGAUCAGAAAGUCAUAUGUCACCAUCAAUAAAGCC
This 4283-nucleotide long non-coding RNA is filed under the name Homo sapiens (human). RNAcentral's name for it is "HSALNT0185843". The record is from RNAcentral. Lineage: Eukaryota; Metazoa; Chordata; Mammalia; Primates; Hominidae.